GUAAGACUGGGAUAACUCCGGGAAACCGGAGCUAAUACCGGAUAGUUCCUUGAACCGCAUGGUUCAAGGAUGAAAGACGGUUUCGGCUGUCACUUACAGAUGGACCCGCGGCGCAUUAGCUAGUUGGUGGGGUAAUGGCUCACCAAGGCGACGAUGCGUAGCCGACCUGAGAGGGUGAUCGGCCACACUGGGACUGAGACACGGCCCAGACUCCUACGGGAGGCAGCAGUAGGGAAUCUUCCGCAAUGGACGAAAGUCUGACGGAGCAACGCCGCGUGAGUGAUGAAGGUUUUCGGAUCGUAAAGCUCUGUUGUUAGGGAAGAACAAGUGCGAGAGUAACUGCUCGCACCUUGACGGUACCUAACCAGAAAGCCACGGCUAACUACGUGCCAGCAGCCGCGGUAAUACGUAGGUGGCAAGCGUUGUCCGGAAUUAUUGGGCGUAAAGGGCUCGCAGGCGGUUUCUUAAGUCUGAUGUGAAAGCCCCCGGCUCAACCGGGGAGGGUCAUUGGAAACUGGGAAACUUGAGUGCAGAAGAGGAGAGUGGAAUUCCACGUGUAGCGGUGAAAUGCGUAGAGAUGUGGAGGAACACCAGUGGCGAAGGCGACUCUCUGGUCUGUAACUGACGCUGAGGAGCGAAAGCGUGG
This 646-nucleotide ribosomal RNA is filed under the name Bacillus sp. enrichment culture clone CBMAI_960. RNAcentral describes it as "bacterial SSU rRNA". It matches the Rfam family "Bacterial small subunit ribosomal RNA", at positions 132 to 764 of the family's 1533-position model. Lineage: Bacteria; Bacillati; Bacillota; Bacilli; Caryophanales; Bacillaceae. The record is from RNAcentral.